AACGAACGCUGGCGGCAGGCCUAACACAUGCAAGUCGAGCGAGGACUUCGGUCCUAGCGGCGGACGGGUGAGUAACGCGUGGGAACGUGCCCUUUGCUUCGGAAUAGCCCUGGGAAACUGGGAGUAAUACCGGAUGAGCCCUUUGGGGGAAAGAUUUAUCGGCGAAGGAUCGGCCCGCGUUGGAUUGGGUAGUUGGUGGGGUAAUGGCCUACCAAGCCGACGAUCCAUAGCUGGUUUGAGAGGAUGAUCAGCCACACUGGGACUGAGACACGGCCCAGACUCCUACGGGAGGCAGCAGUGGGGAAUCUUAGACAAUGGGGGAAACCCUGAUCUAGCCAUGCCGCGUGAGCGAUGAAGGCCUUAGGGUUGUAAAGCUCUUUCAGCUGGGAAGAUAAUGACGGUACCAGCAGAAGAAGCCCCGGCUAACUCCGUG
This 433-nucleotide ribosomal RNA is filed under the name uncultured bacterium. RNAcentral describes it as "partial 16S ribosomal RNA". It matches the Rfam family "Bacterial small subunit ribosomal RNA", at positions 29 to 507 of the family's 1533-position model. The record is from RNAcentral.